UGCCCACAGGCUAAACCGAAACGCUGUUAACUGACAAGCAUUUCAGCCUUUGACAGUUUGGAACAAAAUGUUAGCAUCUGAAUAACGCUUGUUAUGUAUCCUGUCUUUUUAGUUACGCACCUUCAAGGUUCUUUGACUGACUUCAAAUAUAAAUUUUGACAGAAGUUUUCCGAAAGAUUUUAGCUCCAUGUGACAAUUUGGCCCCUCAAGUUGACUGGCAUCAUCAAUCACACUGACAAGGGCAAUUUGAGACAUGCCACACGUUUACGGCUGUAAGGCACUAAACGUAGUUUAAGUGUGUGAGGUAAACACUCUGUACAGAGCUGUGCAGAAAGCAGCUCAGAGCUUUGGGUGUGGCAAGAGGGAGCUAUGAAGGAAGGCAAAUGCCAACAGUGAAAUUUCAACCGAGGUUCUACAAAGGAUUAGGUCUCAUCUUAUAAUCCUCUUUUGCAACUUAAAUUCAUACUUUAAAUCAAGCACCGGAAGAUCUUUUUUGUCAUGAUACGUAACAAAGACGCCCCUCAGAUAUCAUAUAGUUCAGAAAGGUGCUCAGCUUUUCAGUGUCUAAGACUUUAUUCCUGUUUCCCCAAAAGUGCUAAAGCUUUGCUCCCCUCUCUUUGCCUCAAACCUGGUUUCAAUUAGCUUGUCUUUCCAAACCACUACAUUCCAUAACUCCCCUCCUCACCCCAGUCCCGCCCAUCCCCCCUCACACACUAACACGCUCUCUGACUCUCUUCCCCCUCUUCCUCCCAUCCUUUCCCCCGCACACCCUGGCAUGGAGCCCAGGUUAAGAAACUCAAGAUCGUAUACCAAAACGUUGCACAACUUCCUGGCCAGUCAGAGAAAAGGGUGUGCCUCUCUGAGGAGACAGCAAAGCAAGAAGGGAGGGAAGAAAAAAAAGGAGUUGGAGAAGGGAGGUUCAAGAGAGGGAUCCACACCCAUGCUGCUGCAAGGAAGUACCUUUACUUUUUAAAAGUCCAGAACUUAAAAACACAAUGGUGGACUGAUAAGAAAAAGCACACCAACCUCUACAACAUAACACAACCAGCCUGGAC
Nothobranchius furzeri (turquoise killifish) is the source of this 1055-nucleotide long non-coding RNA. RefSeq lists it as uncharacterized. The record is from RefSeq and is a predicted model, not a curated record. NCBI's taxonomy places the organism in Eukaryota, Metazoa, Chordata, Actinopteri, Cyprinodontiformes, Nothobranchiidae.